GUUGUAUGGUUAAGUGACUAAGCGUACACGGUGGAUGCCUUGGCAGUCAGAGGCGAUGAAGGACGUACUAACUUGCGAUAAGCGGUGAUGAGGCAGUAAGAGCCACUUGAGUCACCGAUUUCCGAAUGGGGAAACCCACUGGCAUAAGCCAGUAUCGCUGCAUGAAUACAUAGUGCAGCGAAGCGAACCGGGAGAACUGAAACAUCUAAGUAC
RNAcentral lists this ribosomal RNA (213 nucleotides) under Vibrio parahaemolyticus. Its description in RNAcentral is "partial 23S ribosomal RNA". It matches the Rfam family "Bacterial large subunit ribosomal RNA", at positions 1 to 209 of the family's 2925-position model. Lineage: Bacteria; Pseudomonadati; Pseudomonadota; Gammaproteobacteria; Vibrionales; Vibrionaceae. The record is from RNAcentral.